RNAcentral lists this long non-coding RNA (272 nucleotides) under Homo sapiens (human). RNAcentral's name for it is "HSALNT0386562". The record is from RNAcentral. Lineage: Eukaryota; Metazoa; Chordata; Mammalia; Primates; Hominidae.
AGGAAAUCAGAGAAAGAGAGAAAGGAGAGGGCUCGGGAAGAGGGAAGAGAAAGAAGAGAGAAAGAGAGAAUGUUUGACAAGGGACAAUGGAGUUUCUCUCUAUCACCCAGGCUGGAGUGCAGUGGGGCGAUCUCGGCUCACUGCAACCUCCCCUUCCCGGGUUCGAAUGAUUCUUCCACCUCAGCCUCUCAAGUAGCUGGGAUUACAGGCACCCACCUUCAUGCCUGGCUAAUUUUUGUAUUUUUGUAGAGAUGGGGGUUUCACCAUCAUGG